UAGAGGUCCCUUCCAACUCCUGCAAUUCUGUGUUUCUGUAAUCUUAAUCUUAUUAGGCAGCUUCUGAAUGCCAUGAGAAAGCUCUCCUUAAAGCUAUUGUUAACCCUAGCAAGCUUAAGCUAGGAGUUUGGAGCUCUUUUCUUGUAAAGGCAGCAAGUAGCCUUGGUACAAGAACUACUUUAGGUUUGCUCUAAUGCAUGUUCUUUAGUUUGAGUAUAUCUACAUUUUUGAAAGGUUUUAUAGAAACCUUUUGAAGAUGUAAUAAAAAAAGAUAUGACAUGCCAUUGAAAAAGUUGAAAUUGUACAUCUUUGUUUAAGGAAAAAAAACUUCCUUUCUGUUCUUGGCUUGGACCCAUCUUGUUCUAAAGUACUGCAGCCUCAAAGGGGUCAACAAUAAAUUUUGCUGAAUGGAAUUAGUCCAUUAGAUGCGAUCUACGUUAAAAGAUGACAGUUCACGCUUUCACUGCUUUGGCAAACAUAGCUUUGUGCUGCUUUGCCCAGAACUGUCUUAGUAAACAGCCUGUGUAAAUGAUUUCCUAAAGAUCUUCUGUCACUUGACUACUUACCUGGGCUGCUUUUACCCUGUGCUUGCAACUUGGCAGUGAAGAGGCAGUGUUUUUGUGGUCUCAUUUACUUUUAAAAUGAAAGCAAGUAAUGCAGGUUUUGGAGUUCUUCCAAACACUUCUUUGUCUGCAGAGCUGGAUGUCUGGAGUGGGAGGACCUUUGGAUUAAACCAUUAGGAAUUCAGUUGGGAGCAGAGAUUUUUUUUGAAGGUUUUGGAAGAAAAAAAAGUUCCAUUUCAACUUUGUUUUCCAUUUUCAUCUGCAUCCCACAUGUAACUGCACUUUUUUGUUAUUGCAUUAGCCUCUCCUAUGUAGGUCAGUGAUCCCUUUCCAUUUUCUGUGUUGAAUGGAACUGCUGGUAUCUUUAACUCAAAGAUUAGCUCUGUUUGGAAAGAAGCUCUAUUUUGAAAGAAGCUCUGUUUGGUUACAGGGUAUGCCUCCCUGCUGAAGAUCCUUAUGGAAGUCUUCCUGGUCUUGAAGAGCAAAGCUUACUAGAUAUCUCAUACCUAGUAAGGCCUAUAUCGGAAAGGGCACCGGCUCAGCAUGGUGCAAACUGUCCUCGGAUGGUAUGAAAAGUGAUUGUGGUUUAAGCUUGACCUGGUGGUUGGUCUUUGUGAUAGCAGGCCCACUGUGCUUUGGAGGUCUCUUGCUUCUUUUCUCCCACCCUAAAUAUCUUCCAGAGCUUCUGAAACGAAUGCUGAAGAUUAUUCAAGGUAGUUGUAAACGGUUGACACAUAAGCCUUCUGCCUAAGGCACUGUUACUAUUAGGACAGUGGUAAUAGUGUUGUCAUUAAGUCUAUUCCAGCAACCUGGUCAAUGUGCAAUAGAACCUAAUUGGAGAAAGUAGGGGAAAACUGGAAAAAGGUAGUGGGCGGUUGGUUUAUUCUGCCUAUGUCCUUCCCUGCUGGAGCUGGCUGAGCUGUCAUCCAAGUGGCAUGUUGCUGUUUCCUUCCAUACUCAGGAGGAACUAUCUGGGCUGGCUGGCUGGCUUGGCCCUUCCAUUUCCAUAGCCACAAACAAUUCAAAGCAUCUGCUGUAGAGCCUGUCUUUCUGGACUGGCAGAAGCAAUGCUGAAGCCUUUCUAUGGUGUUGGUAUUACCAAAUAUAAUUUAGUUGUUCUUUUGAAAGUAUUUAUUAAUAUAAUAGUAAAAAGAAAGGGCUCGGGAUUUUACUGUGGGUUUAGCCUUGUGAAGACUAGAGCUUGAAAGAUACUGUGCAGCUCUAUAACGAAGCUUUCUUUUUUGGAUAUGUUUUCAUUUACUCAUUCUUGGAACUUUAUUGUGAUUUAGUAAAUGAGUGACUAGCUUUUUCAGCCUACUUAUGAAAGUUAAAAUAGAAGCUUAAGUUUAUUUAUUACAACUCAAAUGUUUGUGUCAGAAGCAGUGGAAACCUAAAGGAAAUGGUUAUUCUACUAAGUCGUUUCAAGGUGCAUAAAUGUCAAGCUCAUCCAAGCUGAGAUUGAUGUAAAAGUGUGCGAUGAGAAUCCUGAGAUAAGAGGACUUGUAGAUCACUGACUGCACAGAGAACAGGGCUUGACCUCUGAUUCACAAGCUGUUGUCAUGGACCAUUUUUCCAAACAUCUCAGCAUCAUCUGGACAGCACAGAAGAUAUCUCACCUCCUUUGCCGCUCAGUAGACCAGGGAGCCACUGGGCCUAUUUGGCUGAGCCCUGCUCUUGGAGAAAGAGGCAACUUCCAUUUUGCUGCUUUUGGGUCUGAUUUUUGAGUCCCAACUGGAAAAUCACAACUGUGGAAUCAUUCAGGUUGGAAAAGUCCUCUAAGAUUCCCCAAGUCCAACCCCAGCCCACCCUCACCAUGCCCACAGACCACAUCCCUCAGUGCCUCUCCAUGGUUCUGGAACAUCUCAAGCGACAACGACCCCACCACCUCCCUGGGCAGCCUGUUCCAAUGCAUCACCACUCUUUCUGAGAAGAAGUGCUUCCUAAUAUCCAGCCUGAACCCCUUCCCUGGCACAACUUAAGGCUGCCAGCUCUUGUCCUGUCACUGUUACCUUGGAGAAGAGUCUGACCCCUGCCUCACUACAACCUCCUCAAUAAGAAGUGCAGUCAAUUAAAGUGGUUCCGUGUCUUCCGUAUCACCAGGCUUGGCAAGAUACUGAAGCUUUACUGGAAACUCCACUGAAGCCAACUUUAAGUUCUCCAUCUCCUGAAUGUACGACUGCAAAUACUGCAGCUGCUGAAGCAGGCAGAACAGAGCUACAGCUCCCUGUCUGUCUCCUGGCUCUGCAUCUCUGCAUGGUAAAAAUAGCCAUAUUUUACAUCCAUGGGAAGCAUUAAGGAUAUUAUCUCUUUGGAGUUCCUUUCAGCCAAGAGUAAGGAGAUAUGAAGAAUUUGGCUGCUGUCCUCUGCUCCUGCACCACCCAGCUACCCAUCAUGGCUAAUAAUGCAACUCAGUGGCUGCUGUAUUUUUCAUGGCCCUUCUGACAGUAUGAGAUUAGUGGGAGCACAGCUGCUUCAGUACCAGGGCAUGUAUCUGUCUUUCCCUGGCAGAUCCCUUGGUGGUGUGUGGCUGUCAUGUUAAAGAGGGAAGGUAAAACUUAUUUACAGGCAGUCUGAGCGGCAUGUUAUUCAAGGCCAGGUUGCUGGCCCAUCUGAUAUUAUUUAAGGGGUUAGAUAUUGCCAGUAAAUGAAAAUAAAUGCUAUUAGUGUCCCUUCUAGUCAGUGGAAUUAGCUGCUCUUCAGCUGAUGUUUGGUUUUACAGCACAAGAUACGCUGGCUCUCAAGGGUCAUGGCUUUUAAAUGCUGGGAAGGCACUAAUCUUGGGAUCAUGGUGAUGCAAACAGAAAUAGGAGGCUAGCAAAACCAGCAGAGGGCUUCCCUUCUGUUGCUUACCCUCAGUCUCUCUGUUAAAUGGACCUGCAGAAAUCAGGGGCAAAGAGACAGAGUGCAGCACUGUUAACUCUAAGGGUUCCUCUUUUACCACAGUAGAGCCUUGGAAGGGCCCUUCUUUCCUCCUCAUCUCAGCCAGUCUCAGAAGGAUUGUCUUUGCUAAAAAGAAAUUACAUUCUGUUGCCUGUCUGUCUUGAGCCAUUUGCUUUUGGCAUUAACUGUCAAGCCCUGAAUCACUCUCUGGGGAUGCGUGCUGGAAAGCUGGUGGGAACUGAUUGCAUAUCAGCAGCUGAGAUGCAAUACUUGGCUUUGCUCUUCUUGGGAAUCACAGUGUGCAGACCUGGACAGCAUCACGCACAUAGCGUAAGAGACCAAGCACUUCUCGUGGGCUGAGUGCAUCAAAUCCUGAGACAAACGCUUACUGCAAACACUGGGGCAUGAGGGAGGUGGGAGGGAGAGAGAUCAACUCCUAAAGCUUUGGCUUCUUGCUCAGAGCAGGGAAAGGAAUAUAAAAAGAAUGAAUGUAAUUUGUUUUCCUUUGUUGAUCAGAGCUGAAAUUAGCUAUGGGGUAUUGAACAUUGAAGUGGAAGAGGGAGGUGGAAAACUAGAAGAGCAACUGCUUGAAAAUUGCACCAAAGGCCUCUUCCCAAAGAGAAAUAUGCAGGACUUCUUUGGUUUAAGGUCACUCAUCAGCAAGACCCCCAGCUGGGAUGAAGAAACGAGAGGCCAAGGCUUCUGGCAUCCUGCUGCAAUGUGACGUAAAGAGGAGAUGCCACAAGCAGGAAAUCCUCGUCUCAGAGGAAGGAGCUGGUUUUACUGAGGCAGGUGCCCCUAGGAGCUUGAAGGGCUACUGGAAGCAAGUGAAGGCUGCCCUGCCUCAAGGAGAUGAAGGCUCAUGGUGAAGUGUGAUGUUCUAUGGUCUGGAAGCAGUCGGUAAGAUCUUCACCUCCUCUAUCAGCACUUUGGAGACAUGGCUGAAGGAUUGGACAAUACCUACUAGGGAGGUAACAUCUCCAGUGGAAAAGAGGACAGGGCUUUAAAACACCUACAGCUGGCUUCCACACCCCCCUGACCUGCAUUUCAGGUCGGCACCACCAAGAUGUCUGUGUGCCUUGGCUGAUGAGGAUAACUACACGCAAGGCAAGCUAUCUGAAUCUGACAGCAAAGACCACGUUUCCCCUUAAUGCACCGUGCUGUGGGAAGUGUUUACUGCUGCUGCUCUUACAGCGCAGAAAACCAGAGCAGCUGGGAUGCAGCAAGCUCACAAUGAGGAAAAGCAGAAAGAAGAAUGACCCCGCGCCACUGUUACAAGCAGCUUCCUGAAAGCAGCUUGCGGCCAGGAAAACUGCUGGAUGAAAUCCCUCAGAGGAGGAGAAAGUCCAGGGGGUCGAUGACUCCACCACCUCCCUGCGACAGAGGGACAAAAGGAGAAGAAUGGACAAAUGCCUACCCAACACCUGCGCUCCAGAAGGCAGCUCAGGAAGAGGACGGAAAAUAGGACAAACCUUGUGCAAGAACACCUGUAUUAGGAUUGAGUUUGCAAGUAAAGUAAAAUAGCAAACGCAGAGCUUA
This is a long non-coding RNA of Gallus gallus (chicken), 4982 nucleotides long. RefSeq lists it as uncharacterized. The record is from RefSeq and is a predicted model, not a curated record. The transcript is spliced from 8 exons. Lineage: Eukaryota; Metazoa; Chordata; Aves; Galliformes; Phasianidae.